This 341-nucleotide ribosomal RNA is filed under the name uncultured Streptococcus sp. Its description in RNAcentral is "bacterial SSU rRNA". It matches the Rfam family "Bacterial small subunit ribosomal RNA", at positions 1036 to 1382 of the family's 1533-position model. Lineage: Bacteria; Bacillati; Bacillota; Bacilli; Lactobacillales; Streptococcaceae. The record is from RNAcentral.
AGUGGUGCAUGGUUGUCGUCAGCUCGUGUCGUGAGAUGUGGUUAAGUCCGCAACGAGCGCAACCCCUAUUGUUAGUUGCCAUCAUUCAGUUGGGCACUCUAGCGAGACUGCCGGUAAUAAACCGGAGGAAGGUGGGGAUGACGUCAAAUCAUCAUGCCCCUUAUGACCUGGGCUACACACGUGCUACAAUGGUUGGUACAACGAGUUGCGAGUCGGUGACGGCGAGCUAAUCUCUUAAAGCCAAUCUCAGUUCGGAUUGUAGGCUGCAACUCGCCUACAUGAAGUCGGAAUCGCUAGUAAUCGCGGAUCAGCACGCCGCGGUGAAUACGUUCCCGGGCCUU